CCCAACGCUCUAACCACUACUAACCCUAACCCUAACCUUCUUUUUUUUAACCCUAAACCUAACCCUACACUUUACCUUUACCUUAACCCUAACAUUAACCCUUACCCUAACCCUAACAUUAACCCUUACCCUAACCCUAACAUUAACCCUUACCCUAACCCUAACAUUAACCCUUACUCUAACCCUAACAUUAACCCUUACCCUAACCCUAACAUUAACCCCUACCCUAACCCUAACAUUAACCCCUACCCUAACCCUAACAUUAACCCCUACCCUAACCCUAACAUUAACCCUUACCCUAACCCUAACAUUAACCCUUACCCUAACCCUAACAUUAACCCUUACCCUAACCCUAACAUUAACCCCUACCCUAACCCUAACAUUAACCCCUACCCUAACCCUAACAUUAACCCUUACCCUAACCCUAACAUUAACCCUUACCCUAACCCUAACAUUAACCCUUACCCUAACCCUAACAUUAACCCAUACCCUAACCCUAACAUUAACAUUAACACUUACCCUAACCCUAACAUUAACCCCUACCCUAACCCUAACAUUAACCCUUACCCUAACCCUAACCCUAACAUUAACCCUUACCCUAACCCUAACAUUAACCCCUACCCUAACCAUUACAUUAACCCCUACCCUAACCCUAACAUGAACCCUUACCCUAACCCUUACCCUAAAAUUAACCCUUACCCUAACCCUAACCCUAACAUUAACCCCUACCCUAACCCUAACAUUAACCCUUACCCUAACAUUAACCCCUACCCUAACCCUAACAUUAACCCUUACCCUAACCCUAACAUUAACCCCUACCCUAACCCUAACAUUAACCCUUACCCUAACAUUAACCCCUACUCUAACCCUAACAUUAACCCUUACCCUAACCCUAACAUUAACCCCUACCCUAACCCUAACAUUAACCCCUACCAUAACCCUAACAUUAACCCCUACCCUAACCCUAACAUUAACCCUUACCCUAACCCUAACAUUAACCCCUUACCCUAA
Molecule: long non-coding RNA, 1011 nt
Filed under: Oncorhynchus kisutch (coho salmon)
Lineage: Eukaryota; Metazoa; Chordata; Actinopteri; Salmoniformes; Salmonidae
Description: lncRNA (ENSOKIG00005012805.1)
Source: RNAcentral